GACGAACGCUGGCGGCGUGCUUAACACAUGCAAGUCGAACGGAAAGGCCUGCUUUCCCUUGUGGAUUGCGGGUACUCGAGUGGCGAACGGGUGAGUAACACGUGAGUGAUCUGCCCCCAACUUGGGUAUAAGCCUGGGAAACUGGGUCUAAUUCCCGAUAGGACUGCAGGGUGGUGCCUGUGGUGGAAAACGAUUUUCUAGUGGUUGGGGAUGAGCUCGCGGCCUAUCAGCUUGUUGGUGGGGUAAUGGCCUACCAAGGCGGCGACGGGUAGCCGGCCUGGGAGGGUGGACGGCCACAUUGGGACUGAGAUACGGCCCAGACUCCUACGGGAGGCAGCAGUGGGGAAUAUUGCACAAUGGGCGGAAGCCUGAUGCAGCGACGCCGCGUGGGGGAUGACGGCCUUCGGGUUGUAAACUCCUUUCGACCGCGAGGAAGCCACCUGGUGGGAAGGGUGGUGACGGUAGUGGUAGAAGAAGCACCGGCUAACUACGU
This 493-nucleotide ribosomal RNA is filed under the name uncultured bacterium. RNAcentral's name for it is "partial 16S ribosomal RNA". It matches the Rfam family "Bacterial small subunit ribosomal RNA", at positions 28 to 506 of the family's 1533-position model. The record is from RNAcentral.